AUCCAGCUGACGAGUCCCAAGUAGGACGAAACACGCGUCCUGUAU
Molecule: non-coding RNA, 45 nt
Filed under: Schistosoma mattheei
Lineage: Eukaryota; Metazoa; Platyhelminthes; Trematoda; Strigeidida; Schistosomatidae
Source: RNAcentral